UACGGGGGGAGCAAGCGUUGUUCGGAUUUACUGGGCGUAAAGGGCGCGUAGGCGGUUCGUACAGUCAGACGUGAAAUUCCUGGGCUCAACCUGGGGGCUGCGUUUGAUACGUACGGACUUGAGUGCGGAAGAGGGUCGUGGAAUUCCCAGUGUAGAGGUGAAAUUCGUAGAUAUUGGGAAGAACACCGGUGGCGAAGGCGGCGACCUGGUCCGAUACUGACGCUGAGGCGCGAAAGCGUGGGGAGCAAACAGG
RNAcentral lists this ribosomal RNA (253 nucleotides) under uncultured bacterium. Its description in RNAcentral is "partial 16S ribosomal RNA". It matches the Rfam family "Bacterial small subunit ribosomal RNA", at positions 524 to 776 of the family's 1533-position model. The record is from RNAcentral.